This is a long non-coding RNA of Physella acuta, 264 nucleotides long. RefSeq lists it as uncharacterized. The record is from RefSeq and is a predicted model, not a curated record. Lineage: Eukaryota; Metazoa; Mollusca; Gastropoda; Physidae.
GUUAGUAUUAGGUGGACACUAGAACCAAAUGUUGUGGUCGAAAAUGGGGCAUAUGAAAUUGAUUAUCCUGGCCGCUGUGUUGUUGACCUUGACGGUGUAUGCAGUUAGUGGUGAGGUGGUUUGUACCUACAGAGAUUGGUCAGAAGAGACUGUCGAUCUGGCUAUUGGGGGUGUGGUCUCUAUUAACGACCAGCUGUGCACGUGUGAAUCUACCUGUACCGCUGCUCUCAAAUGUCCCUAGAAACUUGAACACGGACUCUUGUG